This is a long non-coding RNA of Gambusia affinis (western mosquitofish), 3286 nucleotides long. RefSeq lists it as uncharacterized. The transcript has 2 exons. The record is from RefSeq and is a predicted model, not a curated record. Lineage: Eukaryota; Metazoa; Chordata; Actinopteri; Cyprinodontiformes; Poeciliidae.
UAUGCAGUCUAUAAAACACACUCAAGAUCUUGCAGGGUGUGAACAUGUGAGAUGGAAAUGACACCUGCUUCAUCACCUCUUAAAGGCGCAGGACGAAUAAAAUAAUAAUUAAAAAAACAGUCUUAAGGGCUUAGACACUCAGACACUGAAACUCCAAUUGCAGGAAGCAAAACAAAAUUACAUUAAUUAAAUAAAAAGUAAACAAGAACAUGUGAUGGUUGCAGCAGCAUCUUCUCAAAAUAAAUCUACACAGGGUAAAAUUCCAAAUUACUGGCAAAACUCUAAUCAUGCUGGGGGGGGAACUGGUUCCUCCUCCUGCUUUUUCUUUUUUAUAUCCUCAAACAGAUACAGAGCGUUUCCUCGUGGACGGGGAUGGCGUUUGGCUGGAUGUGGAUGAGGGCCAUGGGGCAAGGUCACGGAGCACGAGGCCAAGGGCCAAAGGACCGUGACAUGUGCUACCAGUGCGGACCUUUUGGACACUGGGCCAAACACUGUGUGAACAUACCAAAGACUGCCAGGUAUGAUCCCCAACAAUCCUUAUGUGAUUCCUGGACAUUGCUUUCAGGGGAAUACUGAGGCCACACAGAACAUCUACUGACACACUGCUGAGGACCCCGGAGACAAUGUGGGGACAGCAGACCCCAUGUUGUCUGCAACAGUGGAAGGAAAACACACAGACUUCCUGGUUGACACCGGAGCCACACAUUCCACUCUGAACUCUGAUCCUCCUUUUUUCUGACAUCAAGAACUGUGUCUUUAACAGGGUUCUCAGGGACUGAACAGUCUGCUAUUCACGAUGCCUCUGACCUUCACCUUGGGUAAUCAGAAUAUGAAACAUUCUUUUCAGCCUAAUGUCAACGUUCAUGGCCUGGAAGCCCUGGCUCCUGUGUCUGCGCUUCUGUGUUCCUCCUCCGGAUCCACCAUGUGACCCUGUUCCGCGACAGAGACGUCUCUGAAUGGUACCAGGAACCUUUCCUUUCCACUUUGAAGGAAACAACCUGGCAGGUAAAAGUCUCGGACAUUUAUGUAGCUCCUGUUGGUGUAGCUGCUGUUGUCUCUUUCGCAAAAAAAAAAAAAAAACAAAAACAAACAAUCAGAAUGGUAUUAAAUGUCUCACAUUUCUCUCUGUUUGCACCCUGAGCACCAAGUGAAAGAAUUGGGCGUGAUGAUGAAAUGUUCCCUGGCAGCCACAGAUUCGAUUGCCACAGCAGCACUAGGUUUGUUUUUCUCCCGCUCUCUUGAAAAAUAUAAGAUCAGUCAUUCAGGAUCUGAUCACAUAAUAAAUUUUGAAGUAAAAUGUAAUGCAAUUUUCCAUAAAUUAGUGACAUUAGGCAUUCUGAUGAGGCUCCUUGCUUUAUAAAAUUAACAAUCUUCAAACAUAUUUCCCAGCAUACCUACAUUUCUUAUUUAAAUAGUUUCUUUAUAUUGUUUGGUAAGAUAUUCAAAUUUAAUAUGUCAUAUUUCCAUUAACUGUGAGCAGAAAAUUAUUAUCAUUACUAGAAUUAAAGACUUUAGUUAAAAUAAAUUAACAUCUGAUAUGCAAUACAUAUAAAUAUUUUUAAGACGGACUAUUCCCUCAUAAUAGAAUUGAUUUUAGUUUAAUCAGGUUUUGCAAGAUAUUUUGCAGGACUGCCCACUAGACCUUUUGCUUGCUGCACCAACUAUGGAGACCUGCGUUAAAGCCACCUCAGUUCUUUGAGGAUAUUUCUGUAACAAAACUGACUGUUUUGUUUCAGAAAAAGGGGGAGGAAAAGGGCAUCACCCUUGUAUGCAACAGGCAGCUGGGAUACCCGAUACAAAAACUGAACACAUAGUCAUGGGACAUUCACUGAGUUUCACCAUGACAGCGUUGAGACAACAAACACUUUCCAAAGUCCUGAAAGCUCCAAACAUUUCAUUCACACACCAAGACAUAAAUAUGGCAGACUGUUUUUCAGAAGGAGAACCACACGUGUGUGCAGACCUGGUGGCAAAGACAGACAAGGUAACACCAGAACUUCAAGCAGCUCCUCUGCUGGGACCAGAGGUGAGACAGUUCUUUACAGAUGGUUGUUGUUUCAGAAGCAACACACAAGGGUUAAGAGCCUGGAAGAGGUGGUGAGAUGCCAAAAGGGGGCAUCACCUGAAGAGAAAAACGUGAAACAAAUGGGUGCUGGAGGGGCCCAGAUGGCAGGUUAAUUCUGCCUCCUGGGAAAAUAGGAGAGCUGCUCCAAGAGGCUCACGGGUUGGAUAUGUUGGGACGAAGCAGAUGAUGCACAAUCUUAAAGAGUGGUGGCACCUCAAAUGAUCCACAUGGUGAAACAUUUUGUGAAAAAUUGUUCGGUGUGCGGACAGCUGAAUCCUAAGAAAACUUUGAAUCCACAUCAGGGACAGUUUCCUUCAGUCACAUGUCCAGGGAAAGAAAUUGUGUUGGAUUUUACUGACAUGAUAAACCCGUUGCAAGACAAAAAUAUUUGCUGAUUUGUGUUGAUGCUUUCACAGGAUGGCCUGAAGCCUGGCCAGCAACAGCAGAAGAUAGUGAAAUCAUCAUAAAAUGUCUAAUCAAUCAUUACCUCCCAAGGCAAAGCAGAAUGAAUGAAUCAAAAUUUAAAACAAAAUUGGCUAAGGUUUGUGCACAAACAAAAUUAAAUUAGGUCAAUACAUUACACAGAAACCAACUUGUGGUUAGACUGAUUAACCGCAACAGCUCAAUAAUAUCAAAUGUCUAACUGUGUGACCUGCACAGCUGGACGACCCAGAAUGUACUGAACCUGCUUCUUUGAUUCCAUCUGACAUUUGGGGUUUUAACUGCAUGCUUAAUAUGACUAAGUUUAAACAGCCCUCUAGAUGUGACACUUUAACAGCUUUAUUUCCAGUAAUCAACAGCGGAGCCCGGAUGGUGCCCACUAUUCCAGUUAAAGAUAACUAGGUCUAUUUCAAUUUUACAACAGGUAACCGCAGUGUGGGCCGGAUCCCUGACAGUUGGUGUAACAUCAAAUUCCCAGGGCACUUAAUAGGCUAGAGAUGGGAUAUUUUAUUUAUGCAGGGGUAAUAAACUACUUGAGAGAAUAUAGACUGGUGUGACAGGUGUCUGUGCUAUGGUGAGACUUAGAGCCUGUGUCAUCAUGGUAGGGGAACAACAACCUCUGAAUCACAGCAUCUUUUCACAGGUCAAGUGCAGCGCAACUGUGGAGCUGCAACUUUCCAGAUUUUAAAUGUAAAAAGUCCAAUCCUUUCUCGGUGUGCCUGGAUGAAAAUGAGGCAUCUGGACACACGUAGAAACUGGUUGACAUUAACAGAUACUAGA